Mus caroli (Ryukyu mouse) is the source of this 783-nucleotide long non-coding RNA. RefSeq lists it as uncharacterized. The record is from RefSeq and is a predicted model, not a curated record. Lineage: Eukaryota; Metazoa; Chordata; Mammalia; Rodentia; Muridae.
GUGAAUGAAGCCAGUAAGCUGCCUCCAUUCUGAGGGCCUCUCAGCGAGCACGGAACUCAUUAUGCUAGCUGCCUGGUGAGCCCCGGAGAUCCACCUUCCCAGCACAAGAUCAUGAACAUGUACCGCCACAAUAUGUCUUCCCCCACAAAGUCUGGGGAUUAGACUCAGGUCCUCAGGUUUGUGUGGCAAGCACAUUUACCAACAGAGCCUCCUCCGCAACCCAUGUGCCGUGGAUGACUUGUUGACCACGGUACUUCACAAAACUGCAAGAGUACCUACCACAAGGCUGGCACAAAUGAUGUCGGGACCACUAGGCCUGCAGAAAGGCUUCAUGGCUAUGCAUCGGACUUCUUUCUCAGCACAGCCAGAUUAAGGGCUUCCUAAGAGAUGAGGAACGCAUUCCAUCUGGGACAGGAAGGUGAAGGCUGUGUGGAAACUGGUUCCUGUGACAGCUGUUAUUCCUGGGCUCUCUCAACCUUUGCAUUCCAGGAGCCUCCAGGACUGAAUCUGGGUUUUCCCGUGAGCGAUACCAGCAGUCCAGUUCAAAAGUGUCACCAAACACGAAUCAGCAGCAGCAGUGGCAGGAUCCAGCAGAAACUGCCAGGCCUCCACCUAAACAGCAAGAGUCAACGGGAUCGACCAGGACCAACUGGAAUGCCAGGAGUUCUCUGCCGUGCCUCUCUCCACGAAGUGAAGACGAGAGACCAAUGAAGAGUUGUACAGCUAGCUCUGCAGGUGCCCUGUCACUGUCUGUUGAGUCCUAUUUAUAUUCUCUCCAAAUGU